AAAUGGAUGGAUGAUAUUCAAAAGCAAUACACUGUUUUUUCUCUUAUGUUUAAAUGACUUUAGGAUCUUAAUCCUUGACCAAGCCUUAAUUUUCUACCAAACAAUGCCAAAACCUCCUCAGAAAUAACCACUUCUGCUACACAGGCACAGUAUACGAGCAAAUCUAAUAAGAGCCUGCUCUCUCUCUCUCUCUCUCUCGAUGGAAAAUAUAUCCGAAGCAUCGCCGUCAGUGGACUCAUCAUCAACAGGAAGUUCUUCAUUGGCAUGUCCAAGUAUUCAAAUGGUUUCGAAAUCAGACUCGGAGAGGCUUCUUGGCAAGUACUUUGAUGCGUCCCAAUAUGGUUUUGAUUAUGAGCAAAGUAGUCUGUGGUCUCCACUAAUACCAGCUCGAAGGGUUUUUUUGGCUUCACCAGCAGGGCAUAGAUGCUACGAAGAUGAGUUUUUCUCAAAGCUUAAGAAAGCAAAGAGGGAGUGUAGAAGGCGCAUUGCUUGUUUCAAUCACACCUUUUGGCGCACUUCAAGACGACAACCUUAACUGGUGCCAUCCCCGCCUUAAUUUCUUUUCCAAAGGCAUGUUUUAUCUCAAAUCCCCAUCCCCAAGGUGCAUUGGGAAGCUUUUGUCAAAAAGGUUCGAUUCACAAAUGAAUCCCAAGUAUUUGUGUUUAGCUACGAUACAUGCACAAACCUCUGUAUUUUUAUGAAACAUAUGGCUACAUGUAACCUUGUGCUAUCUACUUUUUCA
Long non-coding RNA from Populus trichocarpa (black cottonwood), 742 nucleotides. RefSeq lists it as uncharacterized. The transcript is spliced from 2 exons. The record is from RefSeq and is a predicted model, not a curated record. Lineage: Eukaryota; Viridiplantae; Streptophyta; Magnoliopsida; Malpighiales; Salicaceae.